AAAAAAAUAUCAAGACUUCAAAAAAAUCCAAGGAGAUAGACAUUCAAUCUAUAUAAUCAAACUGUGAAGCUGCAUCCACAGAUUUAAAUAAAGAACUAUAGGGUAUCAGAGGAGGUCAAAAAAAUUUCAGAAAGUCUUUCAAAUAAAUACAAAUUAAAAGUAGCAUUCUUCAAAAAAAAAUACGGAAGGAAGGAAGGAAGAAAAGAAUUGCUUCCUUGUGAACCUAUACCGUCAUCUCUGAAGCGUAAACAGCCACACCAGGUUGAUGGAAAUUAAAUUCCACAUCCAAGCCAAGACAAACACACUUGAAUAUAGUAGCCAACUUCUCUCCAUUUAAGACAGGAAAAUCAAACUUUUCCAAAUUACCAAGACACUGCUAUGAAAGAAAACAUUUGCAGUAGACAUUGUAUAAGAAGAGUGAAGUAAUAGCACCCGAGAGAGAAUAUUAUAAGACAAGAAUAUGCUAAACAGCAUAGAGAUAACUGCAAACAUGAGCAUGGAAGAACUAAGGAAAGAUAUGUAGAAAAAGAACACUUAUAAAGGUCUUUCUGGAAGUACAAGGGAACCUUGCUCAACCAUCAUGUCAUCAUGAAGGAGAGACAAGAAAAGAAUAUAAAACACAGAACUCAAGGCAGAAUGGGAAAGUACCAUCUCACAUCCAAAUACCAUUAAUUCUAAAAAGCAUUAGAAAAAAUGAAUUAUGCCUGGAGACAAGGCUUACAGCCAAACCAGGAGAACAGCUUUAAUGGGAGUCAUUUGCUAAACCACCUAAUGAAAGUGAAACAAAGAUGAUCAAGAUUAUGACUAUGUGAAGUCUCCCACCCAUCAGAAGCCCUACUGUAAUUGCAUGAAAUGAUCUGGAAAAAAAAGAAUGGCCAUCAACUAUAUUCAGCAUGCUCUGUUUAUCUCUUCAGAAACUUCUCCUUCAUGAUGUUUCCCCCCAUCACCCCAGUGAAACAUGCAGUCUUCUUCAACCAUUUUGAAGACGGAUGUCAAAUCAAACAGUAUGAGUAAUACAAAGAUAUAUGAAUGCCACAAGUUACACUAUUGUCUGUACACUUCUUUCAUGAUCCAGUCCAACAUUUGAAACACUUCUACAGAUCUGAUUCUGACAGGUGAUUUGUGGAAUCAACAUCUUCCAUCAAUGCUCUUACUCUUUACAAUGAUCAAGUAUACAUGCAUUUGGAUCAAAUGAAAUGCCUUGGCUUACUCUGGGAAUGUUUAUUCACUACAGGAGCCACCUGGACACUAGACUUUUUUUUUCACUUCAUCCUUUUUCAGAAACUUGAAGUGUUCAUAAGUGUGUACUCCUUGAGUUUAUAAGGGAAUAUAUGGAGGAAUGAAAAAUCACAGUAAUUAUCUCAAUAAUUUAAAAAAUUAAGAGAGCUUGAUAUAAAGGCAGAGAUCUAAAAUGAUAUUUAAAAGUAGGCAACUAACCUCUGUAAUAAACUCAAAUUUCAAAUAUGAAUGCCACCUUUUAUCUUUCAAGUUCAAAUAGAGGUGAUAUUCAAACAACAUUAUCGAGGCAGUGAUCUGAAAGUUUUAAUUCUGUGUCUUACUCUAAAAUUUUACUUCAUUUAUAAAGCACAUCUCUGAUUACCUAAUAAGAAUGCCCUUUUCUUCAUUAUCCUCUUCAGAGCUUUAUUAGUGCCACUUUAGACAGAUUACAAUAAAUUGAGGGUUUCUUAUCACUUAUUUCCAAUUUUUCAAUGAACAACUGUUGCAAAUGCACUAUAUCACUGCUUCUUACUGCUGUCCUUGGACCCACUGACCACAAUUUAGAUCAAGGACACCAAAUCUUUGUAUAUUAAUUACUACUUAACAUUUCCUUUGAGAAUGAAAAGAAAUAUAUAAUGUAGCCUUAUAAAAAUCUCCCCUUACUCCUAACAGUCUCCCAUUAAAGAUGUGCACUUAUGAAGACUUCAUUUACAGAAGUAAUUAAUUUUGAAUA
Molecule: long non-coding RNA, 1951 nt
Organism: Leopardus geoffroyi (Geoffroy's cat)
Lineage: Eukaryota; Metazoa; Chordata; Mammalia; Carnivora; Felidae
Exons: 9
Source: RefSeq, a predicted model, not a curated record